This 840-nucleotide ribosomal RNA is filed under the name uncultured organism. Its description in RNAcentral is "bacterial SSU rRNA". It matches the Rfam family "Bacterial small subunit ribosomal RNA", at positions 18 to 864 of the family's 1533-position model. The record is from RNAcentral.
CCUGGCUCAGGGUGAACGCUGGCGGCGUGCCUUACACAUGCAAGUUGAACGAGAACGGCUCAAUUUGCUUCUUCCGGAAGCAAAAUGAGCUUGGGACAGUAGCGAACGAGUGAGUAACACGUAGUAACCUGCCCACUGGAGGGGGAGAACCACUGGAAACGGUGGCUAAUACCGCAUAAGCCCGAAAGGGGAAAGCAAUUUAUUGUGCCGGUGGAGGGGACUGCGGGCCAUCAGGAAGAUGGUGAGGUAAAAGCUCACCAAACCGACGACGGCUAUCUGACGUGAGAGCGUGAUCAGACACGAGGACACUGAGAGACGGGUCCUACUCCUACGGGAGGCAGCAGUGGGGAAUAUUGGACAAUGGGGGAAACCCCGAUCCAGCGACGCCGCGUGAACGAAGAAGUCCUUCGGGAUGUAAAGUUCUUUUAAAUGGGAAGAAGACCGUGACGGUACCAAUUGAAUAAGCCCCGGCUAACUACGUGCCAGCAGCCGCGGUAAGACGUAGGGGGCAAGCGUUACCCGGAAUCACUGGGCGUAAAGGGAGCGUAGGCGGUUAUGCAGGUCAUACGUUAAAGCAUUCGGCUCAACCGAAGAGAUGCGUAUGAAACCGUAUAACUUGAGGAUAUCAGAGGAAAAGGGAAUUACCAUUGUAGGGGUGAAAUCCGUAGAGAGUGGUAAGAAUGCCGGUGGCGAAGGCGCUUUUCCGGGGUAUACCUGACGCUGAGGCUCGAAAGCCAGGGGAGCGAACCGGAUUAGAUACCCGGGUAGUCCUGGCCGUAAACGAUGUUCACUAGGUGUAGGAUGUCGACAGGCCAACUGUGCUGAAAGCAACGCGAUAAG